AGGCAACCUGCCCUUUAGCCUGGGAUAACUACCGGAAACGGUAGCUAAUACCGGAUACUUUCUUUUUCUGCAUGGGAGAAGAACGAAAGACGGAGCAAUCUGUCACUGAAGGAUGGGCCUGCGGCGCAUUAGCUAGUUGGUGGGGUAACGGCUCACCAAGGCGACGAUGCGUAGCCGACCUGAGAGGGUGAUCGGCCACACUGGGACUGAGACACGGCCCAGACUCCUACGGGAGGCAGCAGUAGGGAAUCUUCCGCAAUGGGCGAAAGCCUGACGGAGCAACGCCGCGUGAGUGAUGAAGGUUUUCGGAUCGUAAAGCUCUGUUGCCAGGGAAGAACGUCUUGGAGAGUAACUGCUCUGAGAGUGACGGUACCUGAGAAGAAAGCCCCGGCUAACUACGUGCCAGCAGCCGCGGUAAUACGUAGGGGGCAAGCGUUGUCCGGAAUUAUUGGGCGUAAAGCGCGCGCAGGCGGCCGUUUAAGUCCGGUGUUUAAUCCCGAAGCUCAACUUCGGGUCGCACUGGAAACUGGAGGGCUUGAGUGCAGAAGAGGAGAGUGGAAUUCCACGUGUAGCGGUGAAAUGCGUAGAGAUGUGGAGGAACACCAGUGGCGAAGGCGACU
Molecule: ribosomal RNA, 620 nt
Filed under: Paenibacillus sp.
Lineage: Bacteria; Bacillati; Bacillota; Bacilli; Caryophanales; Paenibacillaceae
Description: bacterial SSU rRNA
Rfam family: Bacterial small subunit ribosomal RNA
Source: RNAcentral